AACGAACGCUGGCGGCAGGCUUAACACAUGCAAGUCGAGCGCCCCGCAAGGGGAGCGGCAGACGGGUGAGUAACGCGUGGGAAUCUACCCAUCACUACGGAACAACUCCGGGAAACUGGAGCUAAUACCGUAUACGUCCUUCGGGAGCAAGAUUUAUCGGUGAUGGAGGAGCCCGCGUUGGAUUAGCUAGUUGGUGGGGUAAUGGCCCACCAAGGCGACGAUCGAUAGCUGGUCUGAGAGGAUGAUCAGCCACACUGGGACGGGGACACGGCCCGGAAUCCUGCGGGAGGCGGCAGUGGGGAAUAUUGGACAAUGGGCGCAAGCCUGAUCCAGCCAUGCCGCGUGAGUGAUGAAGGCCCUAGGGUUGUAAAGCUCUUCCACCGGUGAAGAUAAUGACGGUAACCGGAGAAGAAGCCCCGGCUAACUUCGUGCCAGCCGCCGCAGUAA
This 447-nucleotide ribosomal RNA is filed under the name uncultured bacterium. Its description in RNAcentral is "partial 16S ribosomal RNA". It matches the Rfam family "Bacterial small subunit ribosomal RNA", at positions 29 to 523 of the family's 1533-position model. The record is from RNAcentral.